This 86-nucleotide transfer RNA is filed under the name Scleropages formosus (Asian bonytongue). RNAcentral describes it as "tRNA-Cys". Lineage: Eukaryota; Metazoa; Chordata; Actinopteri; Osteoglossiformes; Osteoglossidae. The record is from RNAcentral.
GCAGCAGGUGGAGCAGUGGUUAAAACUGUGGUUACAAACCAUUGCUUUGUACUCAAAGGUGUUGGGUUCAAAUCCCACCUGCUGCU